AGUGAACGCUGGCGGUAGGCCUAACACAUGCAAGUCGAACGGCAGCACAGUAAGAGCUUGCUCUUACGGGUGGCGAGUGGCGGACGGGUGAGGAAUACAUCGGAAUCUACUUUUUCGUGGGGGAUAACGUAGGGAAACUUCCGCUAAUACCGCAUACGACCUACGGGUGAAAUCAGGGGAUCUUCGGACCUUGCGCGAUUGAAUGAGCCGAUGUCGGAUUAGCUAGUUGGCGGGGUAAAGGCCCACCAAGGCGACGAUCCGUAGCUGGUCUGAGAGGAUGAUCAGCCACACUGGAACUGAGACACGGUCCAGACUCCUACGGGAGGCAGCAGUGGGGAAUAUUGGACAAUGGGCGCAAGCCUGAUCCAGCCAUACCGCGUGGGUGAAGAAGGCCUUCGGGUUGUAAAGCCCUUUUGUUGGGAAAGAAAAGCAGCAGGUUAAUACCCCGCUGUUCUGACGGUACCCAAAGAAUAAGCACCGGCUAACUUCGUG
This 492-nucleotide ribosomal RNA is filed under the name uncultured bacterium. RNAcentral's name for it is "partial 16S ribosomal RNA". It matches the Rfam family "Bacterial small subunit ribosomal RNA", at positions 29 to 507 of the family's 1533-position model. The record is from RNAcentral.